Non-coding RNA from Clostridium baratii str. Sullivan, 111 nucleotides. Lineage: Bacteria; Bacillati; Bacillota; Clostridia; Eubacteriales; Clostridiaceae. The record is from Rfam.
GGACGAGCCUCUGGAGAGACCUAAAGAGUUUACUUUAGGCACCGAAGGAGCAAGACAUAUAAAUUAAUUUAUAUGUUGAAACUCUCAGGUAAAAGGGACAGGGGAUUUUUU